AACCGGUUCCCGUACGAUCACCAAAGUUAAGCUAUGUUGAGCCUGGUUAGCACCUAAAUGGGUAACAACUUGGGAAUACCAGGUGCU
This is a non-coding RNA of Acanthosepion pharaonis, 87 nucleotides long. The record is from the annotation of a GenBank genome assembly. Lineage: Eukaryota; Metazoa; Mollusca; Cephalopoda; Sepiida; Sepiidae.